UACAGAGGGGGCAAGCGUUAUUCGGAAUUAUUGGGCGUAAAGGGCGCGUAGGCGGCCAUUCAAGUGACGGGUGAAAGCCCUCGGCUUAACCGAGGAACUGCCUGUCAGACUGGAUGGCUUGAGACCGGGAGGGGUGAGUGGAAUUCCCAGUGUAGCGGUGAAAUGCGUAGAUAUUGGGAGGAACACCAGUGGCGAAGGCGGCUCACUGGACCGGAACUGACGCUGAGGCGCGAAAGCGUGGGGAGCAAACAGG
RNAcentral lists this ribosomal RNA (253 nucleotides) under uncultured bacterium. Its description in RNAcentral is "partial 16S ribosomal RNA". It matches the Rfam family "Bacterial small subunit ribosomal RNA", at positions 524 to 776 of the family's 1533-position model. The record is from RNAcentral.